AGUAAAACGAGUAUAACUCCUUACUCAGAUGUUGGAUUUGGAUGAAACCAAUUGCAUCGGAAAUAAGACUCAAAGAUAUUUCUUUUGAUAUGUGGUAGCUCUCCCAGUUCAUUAUAUUGAGGGAGUUAUGAUCGUUCAAAGUUGACCCAAAAAACUGGCAGGCCUCAGUAGUUUGUGUGCAGGAAAUUUUCCUGCACAUUUACUGUUCACAACAUCCCGGCCACCGUUUUAUAGUUUCGAACGUGCUCGAUUAUAUCCGAAACUUAUCCAUUUUUGGAAAUCUUUAUAUCGUUGG
This 295-nucleotide long non-coding RNA is filed under the name Capsicum annuum. Its description in RNAcentral is "long non-coding RNA (CANN_LNC010532)". The record is from RNAcentral. Lineage: Eukaryota; Viridiplantae; Streptophyta; Magnoliopsida; Solanales; Solanaceae.